UACGGAGGGUGCAAGCGUUAAUCGGAAUUACUGGGCGUAAAGCGCGCGUAGGCGGUUAAGUCAGUCGGAUGUGAAAGCCCUGGGCUCAACCUGGGAAUGGCAUUCGAUACUGCUUAGCUAGAGUUUGGUAGAGGGGAGUGGAAUUCCACAUGUAGCGGUGAAAUGCGUAGAUAUGUGGAGGAACACCAGUGGCGAAGGCGGCUCACUGGCUCGAUACUGACGCUGAGGUGCGAAAGUGUGGGGAGCAAACAGG
This 253-nucleotide ribosomal RNA is filed under the name uncultured bacterium. RNAcentral describes it as "partial 16S ribosomal RNA". It matches the Rfam family "Bacterial small subunit ribosomal RNA", at positions 524 to 776 of the family's 1533-position model. The record is from RNAcentral.